RNAcentral lists this transfer RNA (83 nucleotides) under Lachnospiraceae bacterium. Its description in RNAcentral is "tRNA-Leu". It matches the Rfam family "tRNA". From Rfam's summary of the family: Transfer RNA (tRNA) molecules are approximately 80 nucleotides in length. Their secondary structure includes four short double-helical elements and three loops (D, anti-codon, and T loops). Further hydrogen bonds mediate the characteristic L-shaped molecular structure. tRNAs have two regions of fundamental functional importance: the anti-codon, which is responsible for specific mRNA codon recognition, and the 3' end, to which the tRNAs corresponding amino acid is attached (by aminoacyl-tRNA synthetases). tRNAs cope with the degeneracy of the genetic code in two manners: having more than one tRNA (with a specific anti-codon) for a particular amino acid; and 'wobble' base-pairing, i.e. permitting non-standard base-pairing at the 3rd anti-codon position. The record is from RNAcentral. Lineage: Bacteria; Bacillati; Bacillota; Clostridia; Lachnospirales; Lachnospiraceae.
GCCGGCAUGUCGGAAUGGCAGACGAGGCAGACUCAAAAUCUGCUGAUCGAAAGAUCGUGCGGGUUCAAGCCCCGCUGCCGGUA